Molecule: ribosomal RNA, 162 nt
Filed under: uncultured bacterium
Lineage: Bacteria
Description: partial 16S ribosomal RNA
Rfam family: Bacterial small subunit ribosomal RNA
Source: RNAcentral
GGAAUCUUCCACAAUGGGCGCAAGCCUGAUGGAGCAACACCCGCGUGAGUGAAGAAGGGUUUCGGCUCGUAAAGCUCUGUUGUUAAAGAAGAACACGUAUGAGAGUAACUGUUCAUACGUUGACGGUAUUUAACCAGAAAGUCACGGCUAACUACGUGCCAG